RNAcentral lists this long non-coding RNA (2774 nucleotides) under Sus scrofa (pig). Its description in RNAcentral is "lncRNA (ENSSSCG00000043447.2)". Lineage: Eukaryota; Metazoa; Chordata; Mammalia; Artiodactyla; Suidae. The record is from RNAcentral.
AGAGAGGACAGGAAGGGAAGGACCACGCCGACGCUGAGCAGCGCCCCGGGAGGUCAGCUCCGCGCGGGGCUGGGCGGACUUGGGGGCGCGGGCGGGUGUCGGCAUCUCCUGCCUCCCCGCCGGGCUGCAGGCGGAGCCUGGGUGCGCGAGGCGUCGGCAGGCGCUGCAGAGCCAACCCCGGCCAGGGCCUUCCCGCAGCUCCUUGGGCUGCCUCGGCUGCAGCCGCCGGGAACAGCAGGGCAUCCGCGCGGCUGGGCCACCCCGGCCAUCCCGGCCACCCCAGGCUUCCCGCGUGUCCAGGCCGCGCCUCCCCACCGCCCGCGGACCUGGCGACGUCACUGCGGCUCUGACGCGCGCUAAUGGAGGCACGGGUGGAGGCGGCGUGGCGCGGGCAUCCUCCCGGGAGGUCCCGGUCCUUGCAGCCCGCGGCCGCGUUCUUGGCCCUACUCCAGGGGAACCUCGAUUUUCCAAACUCGGGAAGGCCGGCUGUCCUUCGGCUACUGAUAAGGACGCAAGCGCCGGGUAAAAGAUUUUAACAAUGCCCGGAAAGAAAUAGUCGGACCCAAGAAAGAGACUAAUAAUAGCCGCCAGCUAGAGUUCUGCUCCUGUGCUCAGCGGUCUUAAGAACAAUAAUAACGACAACAACCACAAUAGCCACCAUUUAUUGAGCGCUUACUCUGUGCCAGGCACUGUGUUAAGCGCUUUGCAGGCAACAACCCUCGGAGGUUUUCCCUGUCCCUGCACUGCUCGUUUGGUCACCUUUUGAGAGAAAAGAACACUGAUCCCAUUAAAAGGCCCUGUUGUUUGCCAGAUGAGGUCACCAGACUGGUAAGUAGCAAGGCUGGGACUCCACUAGGAAUAUCUGACUUUAAAAGCCAUGUUCCUGUCACCCAGAAUGCACAUGCUGAUGCAGCUGAACAGAAGAGGUAAGAGACAAACCAUGCCAAACACAAACCAAGAUUUGCCCUAAGAGUGCUCAGAAAUACCACAUGUGAAUCAGGGGCUUCAAUAACUUUCUGAGCCUCAAUCUGGGACUCUGUCUAAAACAGAAAAACAAACCUCAAAGUGCAAUGAGAGAAGAAUAGGAAUGAGGCAUUUAGCUUUCCCUUGGAAGAGCAGCUGGAGAGGCCCACUCACUUUCUAUGUCUGGGCUCUGAGGAAAUAAAGGUGGUUCUAGGAAAAUCUGAAAAGUAAGAGAGGAAAAAAAAAAUCCCUUCUGUGGUUUUUUUCUUUAACCAAGCCUCAUUUUGCUAUUUGUGUUUUAUUUUAAAACUAAUGUGGCUCUCCCCACCCUUUAAAUUGGCACGUAAAUAGCAAAAACAGAAGGAAGGCCAGCUACAAACUUCAAAUGUGGUGGGUUUCUCAGGAAGGAGGUACAUGACUUGAAGUGGAAAUGAGGAUUAAAUGAGGUGCCUUAAACAUUUCAAAGACAGACUUUCCACAAGGACUGUGGAUCAUAAGCCUUUAGAACAGGAGCUUUGUCUGGGUUUGGGCUUGGUAGAGUGUCCAGAAUUUGUGAGUGCCCCAAAAUGUGGAAAACGAAUCACACUUCUAGUGUCUGUCUGCAUCAUCUAAUCAUCUCGGCCACCGCUCUGCUUACAGCUUUAAAGGUUGGCUUCUGGAGGAUUUUCCUGUUCUCAGAUGUCAGACACACAUCCUCCCUCAGACCCCUUACUUUUCCAGAAGUUUGCUCUGGGAAUUCAGUCAAGGUGAGGCAAUGGUUGAUGAUAUCACUAGGCUUGUUUGAAGAGAUUGACAGGCCAGCUCUGGAAUCACCAACUGGAGGUUUUUCCAAACUGGGAAACCAAGGCAGAAGGGACUUCAUGAGACUUGUCACUAACAGUUCUGAUUCUCUCGCCCUAUGUCUUUGAACUAGAAGGAUUCCCCUCUUACCCAACACAAGAGAGACCUGAAUAUCCCAGGCUGCCUCUUGCAAAAUUCUUGGACCUCUUCGACCUUCCUCGCUGCUGCUUCCCUCAUUCUUUCAGUGCGUUCAUUCUACAAACAUGCCUCAAGGGCGCAUGAUGUGUAGAUCCUAGUGGCAGAGCAGAGAACCUAACAUGAGCUCAGAAGCUUACUUUCUCCCAUUCCCUCCUGGUUUCUAACCUCAUGGCUUCAACUUCCACACCUGGAGAGGUCCUAUGAUGGUAAAUGACUUGCUUCUCCAGGUAAGGACUGCUGCUCAGACAUACCUGACAUUCCACCAGCUCCUUCGGCAGCUCUCUGAGAUCAUACCCUGGGACCCUGACACCACAGCGAUGACACCGAUUUGGUAGAAGGUUUGGGUCCUGAGAUACCUUCAGAAGCAGGGCUCAGAAAUGCUCCAGCUCCAGCAUUUGCCCUUGCUCCUCCCCAUCCCUUUCCAGUUGUCACUCCUUCAGUUUAUAAGAUCGCUGUUGUCCAAAAUAGCACAGGCUAUAUUUAUGAAGCAUCUAUUAUGAUGAAAAAUCCCGUAGUGCCAUAAUACCCUACUGUCCAAAGGAAAAUGUUGGCUUAAACAAACAACAGUGACUAUCUGGCAAAGUGAUGUGUGGGAUAAUGCUUAUGAGUCUUUUGGGUCAUUUUUUUUUUUUUAUUGAAUCUUGGGACUGAGUGAUUCAUAAUAACGAGAGGAAGGAAGAACACUAGGCCUGUUUUAGCUUUCAAGAUUAUUCAAAUGGAAUAGAUUUUCACCAUCAACACCCUAGCAAAGACAGAAUGCUUAAGGUAAAUUGCCAGUUUUUGUCUUUUUGGAAAAUCCAUUAAUACUGAAUGAUCUUGGUUUUAAUCCAUUC